UUUUAUUAUUAUUUUAUUUUUUAUUUUUUUAUUACAUUUAUUUGUUUACUUUUUAGUUCUAUUUCCCAAUACUUAUCCAGACCUGGUACUCAAAUUGCUCAAAUCAAAUUCUAUGCUUUAUCAAACUGCAUAGGAACAUACAACAUAACAGUUUAUUCACUGGUUAUUUGUCUAUGGUUCGUUACGUUACUUACAGAUUUCUGCUAGUUCUAAAUAUAGAUAAACAUACAGAUGAAUAGAAGGUAAAAUUUAUUUAAAUGCAUCAGCAAAAGAACGAUUUUAAGAAUUUGUCCUACCAGUCUGUGCCUCGUCUCAAUAGUGAAGCUGUGGGUUGAAGUUACAGAAAUGCAUACUAUUACUUUAAGUUUCCAAGCGAUUUGUUGAUAAAUCGCAGAACAGCGAUGACAAUAAGUUCCGAGUUUCAUAGUGAUUCAGCGUGCGAACUGAACGUGAUAUAUGAGCCACUGUUUGCGUGUUUAACCGCAAGGAAGCGGCACAGUAAUUUAUAACGGCAAGUCACAGAAACAAUCCCCCGAUCAACAUUGAUCCAGAUGGAAUGACUGAAAAUUCAGGAAAGACGACGAGAAGGAUUUAAACUGUGCUUCUUGCGGGGUUGAGCCGAUGGAGUGGAGAGUGUGAGCCGGCUGGGAACUGGAUCUGCGCUGCGGCGCGGCUCCGGGUUUACUGAAGGCCUGCUGCGGCGGCCUGGCGCUGGAAGAAGGCCCGUUCCGUCGCGGGAAGAGGCGGCAUUGCCCGAGACUCGAGCUUGGUGCUCGGCUGCCUUAUUGUCAUUUUUCUGUGACAGUAAUGAUUGAAUGGGCUAGAGUAGGGAAAUACACAGAAGGAUAUCGCGGAUGAUUCGGACGUGGUGACAGGCCUCGGCGUUUUGGCAUGCAGGGACCCGUUUGUUUGGGCUGACGCCCCUCCGAAAUAAUGCCGUUGGAUUGGAGAAAAAUUGUUCUUAAGGCCAGAGGAUUGUGGCAAAGAUUCCUCGAGGAUGAAAGAUUCUUCAUCGGACGCGACUUCAGACAUGUUAGGAACUUAGGGCGGGACCAAAUGCUGGAAACUGUCGAGGAUCCUUGGGUGAGUUUGACUGUGAUUAUAUACAGGCCUGAACUCAUGCCGAUUGGGUAGAUACGUUGAUUACAGAUUGUUGACCGCUGGUUGAGAUGACGUAAUGAUUAAGAUUAUGAAAUGAUUGGGUAUCUUAUUUGACUUGUUCCUCCUGAACUACGUUUAUAAAACAUAAUUUAUGUGGAAAACACUUGCGACUCCAAAGGAGUGAAUGGCCAUAUAACAAGAAGAAGAAGAAGAAGAAAACACUUGCGAGGUCCGACGGUUAAGCAGAGCGGUUAAGAUAGGGGCUUGAAUAAUUAAUAAUCAAUAUAACCUGACGAAAAGAUAUUUAUUAAAUGUUAUCCACAUUAUAUUUCAUCUGCAACAGCAUUGUGAACUUUUAUAACGAUGCGUUUGGUCAUUAACUUUUAAAUGCAUCAUUAUGCAAAGAUGAGGAGAGUUCUCUGCAUGAAAGACCCAUGACUGGAAGAUCAACGUGCGACUACAUUUCUCUCCGAAACGCUUUUUAAUAUAGCACAGUGAAGGAGAGAGACAGGAUGCAGUGAUGUAGCAGAGGGAAACUAUCACAAAAAGACCAGCAGCCAGGACAUGAACUCUGGUCGCCUGCGGUACUGCUGCACCAUAUGUCACACCACAGCCUACAAGCUUAUGACUCUGACAUAUGUUUUUAUAGUACAUCAAAUUAUUAUUUUUUUUUUCCUCAUCAAAUUAGAUUUUUCAUUAUAUGAUCCUUUGUAUGGAAGCUUUUUUCAGAUAAUUUUAAAUAAUCAAAUAAUAAAAAUGUAUGCAAUGAAUGUGGCCUAAUAAUAAUAAUAAUAAUAAUAAUAAUUUUCACAGCACCAAUACAUCUUCCUUGUCAGAAAAAAAUAAAUUGUUGGUUUGAAUUUUCGCUACAGUGAAUUUUCUUAAAGAGACAGUUCACCCAAAAAUGAAAACUGUCAUCAUUUACUUUCCUUGACCCAUUUGAAGCUUUAGACAAAAUCAAUUCUCUCACAUGAUUGAUAAGCGUUGAUUAAGUUUUGAGCCUUGAAAAUCCUGUCAAGUCUCCUCUAUUUAUUAUGGCCAUUUAUGCAAUACAAUAAUUUCAAAGCACAUUCACAGUAAUAAACUAACAGAAAAUGUAAAUAACAGAAUCAAUGAUGCAAACUUCAAAAACAAGUCAAAUAUGUGAUCAAAUAUGAGACAAAUUCAAAUUCUGCUGUAAAGCAGCUCUACAGACAACAAUAGUGCCAUUAUUUAGCUCAAGUCAGUUUUAUGUUGAAUAAAUUCACUAGUGAUGGUGCAAAAUUGGUCAAUUAUGAAACAAAUUCAAUUGUCAGUUCAGUGUUGAUUCAGAUAACUGUGUAAAGUUCAUAAAUUAUGAAACGAGUUAAACCUAGCUAAGCAGCUCUACAGAAGACAAUAUUGUCUUUAUUCAGCUCAAAUCAGUUCAUUGUUGAUUCAGUUUAGUAGUGAUGUUGCAAAAUUGGUCAAUUAUGAAACAAAUUCAUUUGAGCUGUAAAGCAGCUCUACAGAAGACAACAGGAUCCUCAUCCAGCUGAAUUCAGUUUAAGUUUUGUUCUCAUCCUGUGACAGCCAGCAACAUCUGUGAAGAUGAGAGCACAUGUCAAUCAAUGAAACAAACAACUAAAGCCUUGAACAAUUUCUAUACUGAAAACUUUGCUUUGGAGGCUUUUUAUCCAGAGGAAUGGCAGAAAAUUCUAAAGGAGGUCAUAAUCUGUUGGAAUGGGAUCUUCAGUGGCCUCAUCCCACCUGUGAGCCGGAAUGCUGUAGGUCAAAUCCGUAGUUCAUUUUCACACUUCGCUUGAAUUGUUUUUCGUUGCUCUCCUCCUGCUAACCCUCACUGAAGCUGUACAAUUCACUCAGUAUUUGACAUUGCGUUUUUUUUUGCUCCCCUUUAUUUUGCUGCAAUCAUGAACUGCCCAUCCUCUCUCCUUUUUUUUUUUUUUUUUUUUUUCUCCCACAGGGAGUGUUUCUGUUUCGGAAAAUGGAUGGAACUCUCAGUAUUCUAUCUCUCCUAAUGUUAUAACUCACAUCCCACAUCAAUCCAUUCAUCCGUCCAUCCAUCCAUCACCUGUCAGCUCUUUUCAUUACCCGUCCUGUUCUUGCGGAAUAGAAAGCCGUUUCCACCACACUUUCCCAUAGAUAAGGGGGUGUGAGCCAGUUGACACAGAAACUGUUAUCAGAAGUCUUGCUUUUAUAUCGGGACCACCAGGGAUUCUCUAGCAUGGACAUGCCCUGGGUAACAUAACCAGCUAUUUUCCCCCUGCAGAGAUCUCUUUUUGCCUGCUGUUCACGGUUGUGCCGUCUAGUCACACAACAACUACAGUAUUGGAAUAUUUGAUUAAAGCCUUCUGUGCACUCUGAGGUUGAUCAGAUCAAUUUAAAACUCAUUACUGAUUUAAAUGCAAGGAGGGAGAGUGGAAAAAAUCAAAUGAGCCUGUGCUGUGAAAGCCGUGCAGUGAGAGCCAGAUAUGAAGACGCCGUUUAAGGGAAGAACAGAGACAGAGAGCCUAGGGCUGUCGCAGACAGGUGGGAUUUCUCAGGACACCUAUUUCAGUGAUAUCUGUCAGUUUGAGCAAGACUUCAGGGACUGAUGGGUGAUCGGUCAGGUUGAUGGUCAAUAAAUAGAAGAGUGAAGGGCCAGUAGGAGCACAGAUCAACCCUACUGCAGACCAGGGCCGGAACCACCACAGACAUUGAGGGGGACAAGUCCCACCCAAUAAUUAGAAAUGUCCCCCUGUUUUCUGUAGUGUGAACAACUUCAUUAAACAUUUGUAGUAUGCCUGCCAUCCAAUAACUGCAAAUAACUUUGCUUCAUAUGACAUGUAACAAAGCACAAAGUCUCAACUGUAAAAUUUUGUUGAUUUUAUUGCAAAAUUCAAACAAUAAAUGUGUAACAGAGGUUGUAACAGCCAAAACUGUGUGUUUACAUGCAUCACAUUAUGGUGUGCUGUGCCCUUUAAGAGACUGAUCACUUCCCUUAACACGCGCUAUGCGGUGAUGAUGUAGAAGAACUACGUGACUGUGAAAUGAGAACCAUGAUAGAUGUAUGUGCUCUUCAAUUUUUGUUACAGUAUUGCUUUAUUUUUAUUUGUAACGCUAAGAAAGAGUCAAUCUCUCAUGUAUGAGAGGAGCGCGUUCCUGUGUACCUGCCAUUAAACGAGUGUAAAUACAGACUUUUUCGCCUGCAAGCUCUUUCAUUCUAUUGAUUUAACUGGCGUUA
Megalobrama amblycephala (Wuchang bream) is the source of this 4303-nucleotide long non-coding RNA. RefSeq lists it as uncharacterized. The record is from RefSeq and is a predicted model, not a curated record. The transcript has 5 exons. NCBI's taxonomy places the organism in Eukaryota, Metazoa, Chordata, Actinopteri, Cypriniformes, Xenocyprididae.